RNAcentral lists this long non-coding RNA (408 nucleotides) under Brassica napus (rape). Its description in RNAcentral is "long non-coding RNA (BNAP_LNC012561)". Lineage: Eukaryota; Viridiplantae; Streptophyta; Magnoliopsida; Brassicales; Brassicaceae. The record is from RNAcentral.
UCGAGUAUUCUAUAUUAUGUCGUAACCAUGUAUAGUAUAGUCAUGUAUUGGAUGAAAUCCAACCUCGUAACUAAUUCAAUCAUUUGUAUGACUCUACUAUAUGGCAUGUAGUAUAGUAUGACAGUUUUAUCUUUAGAGUGUCAACAUCACGCGCACGCGCCUGGAGGGAGAUUUCGGUCACGUUUGUGCCCAAAUUGUCUCAUCCGUCCCGCUUUACUAUAGCAUGGACAUAUUUUUCAUUCUUUUGCUUCUUAUGAAUAUUCAGCAAAUUCACCUAUCGUUCUAUUAGUUUGUAUAUUUUCUUCUUUAUGUACAUGAUUAGACUGUAAAUUAUCUGUAAACUACCAAUACUAUAAGGGGGGUGUAUUCAAUUUGGAGUUUGAGGUGAUUUGUAUUAAAAUGACAAAU